ACCGGAUGGGACACUUCAUAGUGCAACGAAUCUGGACAGGAAGCAUGUCCGGAUUCGUUAUACUAUAAAGUGUCCUAUUCGGU
Oryza glaberrima (African rice) is the source of this 83-nucleotide non-coding RNA. The record is from Rfam. NCBI's taxonomy places the organism in Eukaryota, Viridiplantae, Streptophyta, Magnoliopsida, Poales, Poaceae.